AAUCAACGCUGGCGGCGUGCCUCAGACAUGCAAGUCGAACGAUUAAACUUUCCUUCGGGAAAGAUAUAAAGUGGCGCACGGGUGAGUAACACGUAAGUAAUCUACCCUCGAGUGGGGAAUAACAUCGGGAAACCGAUGCUAAUACCGCAUAACGCAGCGGCACCGCAAGGUGACAGUUGUUAAAGGAGUAAUUCGCUUGA
This 200-nucleotide ribosomal RNA is filed under the name uncultured bacterium. RNAcentral's name for it is "partial 16S ribosomal RNA". It matches the Rfam family "Bacterial small subunit ribosomal RNA", at positions 32 to 222 of the family's 1533-position model. The record is from RNAcentral.